Molecule: ribosomal RNA, 254 nt
Filed under: uncultured bacterium
Lineage: Bacteria
Description: partial 16S ribosomal RNA
Rfam family: Bacterial small subunit ribosomal RNA
Source: RNAcentral
UACGAAGGGGGGCUAGCGUUGCUCGGAAUUACUGGGCGUAAAGCGUGCGUAGGUGGUUUGUUAAGUCUGAUGUGAAAGCCCUGGGCUCAACCUGGGAAUUGCAUUGGAUACUGGCAGGCUAGAGUGCGGUAGAGGAUGGCGGAAUUCCCGGUGUAGCAGUGAAAUGCGUAGAGAUCGGGAGGAACACCAGUGGCGAAGGCGGCCAUCUGGAUCAACACUGACGCUGAGGCACGAAAGCGUGGGGAGCAAACAGG